This 253-nucleotide ribosomal RNA is filed under the name uncultured bacterium. Its description in RNAcentral is "partial 16S ribosomal RNA". It matches the Rfam family "Bacterial small subunit ribosomal RNA", at positions 524 to 776 of the family's 1533-position model. The record is from RNAcentral.
UACGGGGGGAGCAAGCGUUGUUCGGAUUUACUGGGCGUAAAGGGCGCGUAGGCGGCACCGCAAGUCGACUGUGAAAUCUCCGGGCUUAACCCGGAAAGGUCAGCCGAUACUGCGGGGCUAGAGUGCAGAAGGGGCAACUGGAAUUCUCGGUGUAGCGGUGAAAUGCGUAGAUAUCGAGAGGAACACCUGCGUCGAAGGCGGGUUGCUGGGCUGACACUGACGCUGAUGCGCGAAAGCUAGGGGAGCGAACGGG